Dendrobium catenatum is the source of this 333-nucleotide long non-coding RNA. RefSeq lists it as uncharacterized. NCBI's taxonomy places the organism in Eukaryota, Viridiplantae, Streptophyta, Magnoliopsida, Asparagales, Orchidaceae. The record is from RefSeq and is a predicted model, not a curated record. The transcript has 3 exons.
UUCAUCACUAUAUUGCUUGAUUCGGCACGUAUACUUGCGUAUAUUGAGAUUUUUAUAAUUUUUAUAUCAAAGAAAAUCGAAGCAUUGUUUAGGAAUUGAUAGAGCCCUAACUUAUUUUUACAAUUCUUUAGGUUACACCUCCGCUCCCAUCAACUAUGUGGAAGCUUCACAAUCCUGCAACAGAUGAAAUUGAAACUUCUUCAGCAUGAGGUGAAGCUGCUUGUCAUUGAUAGCAUGGCUGCACUUGUUUCAGGGAAUAUGUCUGAUCUUACUCAGCAUCUAUGUGACUAUAUUUAUGUUUUGGAGUAUCACAUUAUCGAUGCACAUAAUAUG